Long non-coding RNA from Gorilla gorilla gorilla (western lowland gorilla), 260 nucleotides. RefSeq lists it as uncharacterized. The transcript is spliced from 2 exons. NCBI's taxonomy places the organism in Eukaryota, Metazoa, Chordata, Mammalia, Primates, Hominidae. The record is from RefSeq and is a predicted model, not a curated record.
CGCUCGCUCCCGCCUCCUCGGAAACCUUGUCCCCACAACCACUGCGUGUUAAAAAGGACAAAACUGACUCGCAGCUUGAAAAACACUCAGAAAGCUACCAUCACUACAGGUUUCUAUAAUUAACUCCUGAACUGCAAUUGGUCUUUCAACUGUGUCUCCUCCAAGAAGCCCUGCAUUGUCUUCUCCAACAAUGUCUCCUUCAAGAAGCCCUACAUUGAUUCAUAAACUAAGGAAUUUUCAUAGGUUUCCAUGAUGUUAAA